This 201-nucleotide long non-coding RNA is filed under the name Elaeis guineensis (African oil palm). RNAcentral's name for it is "long non-coding RNA (EGUI_LNC080015)". Lineage: Eukaryota; Viridiplantae; Streptophyta; Magnoliopsida; Arecales; Arecaceae. The record is from RNAcentral.
AGCGGAAGUUACGAAGCGUGGGAAGACAGUAUGGCCAAAUACCUUGAAAGGGUAAAGGAACUCGUCUCUACCUUUAGCAGCUUCAACAUCAAACAGAUCCCAAGGUCGAAAAAUACUAGGGCUGACCUUCUCUCUAAGCUGACGACGCUAGCUCCGGCCGAACUGCCCAAGGGCGUUCUUUUUGAAGUUCUAAGGCACCCG